This 1010-nucleotide long non-coding RNA is filed under the name Anser brachyrhynchus (Pink-footed goose). RNAcentral's name for it is "lncRNA (ENSABRG00000016300.1)". The record is from RNAcentral. Lineage: Eukaryota; Metazoa; Chordata; Aves; Anseriformes; Anatidae.
CGCCGGUGGCUGGGGGGCGGCCGGGGGCGGCUCCGGCCGCCUCGGGACCCCGCCGCGGCGCCCCCCGGCUGUUAGCCGCCGGUCGCCCUGCGGAGCCGGGGGGAGAGCGGCAGAAAGCCCCGCGAGUGAAAAAAGCACCGAAAGGCGCCGGGUUCUCCUCAGAGCAGCCCGCUGUUUCGGGGGUUUCCCUUGCAAUCGAGCUCACCGCAGAGCUGCGUAACGUCGCACGCAGAAAUGCCUUUUAAAGCUCGUUACGGUCCCGAGCCAACCGUCUGCUCUUCGUGACUCAGGAGAGGAGGAUAUGCGGAGCGCAGGACAAACAAACAGCCGCUUCCAGUUUCCUUCUUGGGAAUGUUAAUUUGUUUUCCUUCUGGGCAGGCGGGAGCACAAAAUAAUGCCCUUCCGUGCUAGAGUCGUGUUACAUUUCUGGUGAUAUAAAUAAAUGGGCAAAUCGAGGUCCAGAUUUGCUCAGUCUGUGCCCAGACGAUUAAUUUUCCUUGUCUGAAGCAUCAUGAAGGCAGUGUUUACGCUGACUGUCACAAAGCACUUUUAAGAUAUUUCAGACACAAAAAGAGCCUUUCCAACUUGCCCUGCUGUAAUCUGCAAAUCCGUAACUCUCAUAGGAGGGACAGAAAGGGGCAGGGAGUGCAGGCCCCUUCUCUUCCAAGACAGAACCAUUCUGACGAAGUACACAUUAUUUAUUUUUACUUCCAAAGUUUAUACGUGGGGUUUGAUAUUGCCAAAUCCUUUCUGCGGGAUGUAAUCAGGCCAUUACGCUACAGUGUGUUUAAUAUGUUCUGACAUAACAUAAAAGUACAGCUAUGUAUGUCAUGUAUGUUGAAAGAGUGUACUAUAUGAUAAACUCAUCUCAGUUUUUGUUUAAUCCCAUUUCUUCAGUCAAAUUUGAAACAUUUGCUAAACAGAUUUUUGAAUCAUCAACUUGAAUUAGUAAAUUAAAAAGUUAUCAAUCAUCUUACUAUAGAGUAAAAUAAAAACUGAAAAUAAAUCCA